Molecule: long non-coding RNA, 1241 nt
Filed under: Actinidia chinensis (golden kiwifruit)
Lineage: Eukaryota; Viridiplantae; Streptophyta; Magnoliopsida; Ericales; Actinidiaceae
Description: long non-coding RNA (ACHI_LNC002570)
Source: RNAcentral
CCCCUACACCUACUCAACCCAUUACUAAGCCAAUUAUAUCUUGCAACGCCCAACACCAAACCUAUCCACCCUGCCUAAACUCUGCAUGGUAGUAACUAUAACCUCUCAAAACCAACCACCACUAAAAUUAAUCCAAUUGAGGAACAAUAUAUGGUGAUGUAGAACGAGGUAGAGAGAGAGAGAGCGCUUUUGAUUGCAUGCAGAAACAUGUACGAUAAUGCCACCAUAAUAUCCAUUGCACAUGUUGUGAUAUGAAAGAGGGAAAAAGGAGGAAAAAUAAAAUUAGAUUGAUUGUGUGGGUGGUAAAUGUUUGUGUGUGAGAGAGAGACAGUGUCUUUCCCUCUAAUUAGCACUAGGGUUUUCAAUCAAAUUGAUCAAUCAAUGCCAAAUUAUGCCAAAUUUUCGACAACCAUGGAUAAUUAGUGUGUGCUUGUAGGGGCAAAGAUCCAAGCUUCCCUCCUAAGCUAAACUACCAUUCUCGUAAGCUACUGGCGUGAGAGAGUCGCUGCAAUUGCCAAGGGGUUCUAACAGUUGCCAGUAAGAGCAAAGGAGGAGACAAAGGCUAGAGUUGCAACCAUGGCCUGUAUAUUGAUGAUGGGGUUGUGAUGGGUUGACUAGUUGUAGAGGCGCUAGCAUAGGAAACGGGGGAGUAGAGAGAGGGCAGAUAGGAAGGUUUAGCAAGUGGCGAAUUAGCGAGGGUGUCAGUGUCUGUGUUGAUCUAUUUGGGUGGCGAAGGUGUUGAUUUGGGAGGUGGGGAGAAGAGGAUGGAGUGGGGGUAGUUGAUUGGGGUAGGAGGAGAGACAGAGGGAGGAAGAGUAGUAAAUUUUCAAUGCAAAGGUAGACCUCGUGGCAGAGGGUUUCUGGACUCACCUCGAACUGUGAGUCCCGAACCGGGUUAUCCCGUAUCUACCCACUGCAACCGCCACUGCAGGUUUCUAUUUUGGAUUUCUUCUCUCUCCAUUUUUCUUCCAAACACCCCACAACAUGAAUUCGUAUACGUGAAGGCAGUGCUCAACCUGAUAACCACUCAAAUCGACAAGGGUAGGGUGACGAAGAAGGCAGAGCUCACGAAAGUCCUCCAAAAACUCCUUGGCCCGUCUCAUUUAAGAGCAAUAACCUACCAACAACAGCAACCCAUUUUAUCUACCAAACAAAGUGCUCGACUUCAAGUAUAGGAGAUUAAGAUAAAUGAGGAAAGUUUGUAACUUUUUUCUAAUCACCCAUAAAAAAGGUGAAUCAAA